AUUGAACUCUGGCGGCAGGCCUAACACAUGCAAGUCGAACGAGUGGCGGACGGGUGAGUAAUGUCUGGGAAACUGCCUGAUGGAGGGGGAUAACUACUAGAAACGUUAGCUAAUACCGCAUACAAUCAGAUGAGCCCAUAUAGGAUGAGCUAGUUGGUUGGGUAACGGCUCCCCGAGGCGACGAUCGCUAGCUGGGCUGAGAGGAUGCCCAGCCACACUGUGACUGAGACAAGGUCCAGACUCCUACGGGAUGCAGCAGUGGGGAAUAUUGCACAAUGGGCGCAAUCCUGAUGCAGCCACGCCGCGUGUAUGAAGAAGGCCUUCGGGUUGUAAAGUACUUUCAGCGGGGAGGCGUUACCCGCAGAAGAAGCACCGGCUAACUCCGUGCCAGCAGCCGCGGUAAUUC
This 406-nucleotide ribosomal RNA is filed under the name uncultured bacterium. RNAcentral describes it as "partial 16S ribosomal RNA". It matches the Rfam family "Bacterial small subunit ribosomal RNA", at positions 30 to 526 of the family's 1533-position model. The record is from RNAcentral.